GAUGAACGCUGGCGGCGUGCCUAAUACAUGCAAGUCGAGCGAACAGAUGAGGAGCUUGCUCCUCUGACGUUAGCGUCGGACGGGUGAGUAACACGUGGAUAACCUACCUAUAAGACUGGGAUAACUUCGGGAAACCGGAGCUAAUACCGGAUAAUAUAUUGAACCGCAUGGUUCAAUAGUGAAAGACGGUUUUGCUGUCACUUAUAGAUGGAUCCGCGCCGCAUUAGCUAGUUGGUAAGGUAACGGUUUACCAAGGCAACGAUGCGUAGCCGACCUGAGAGGGUGAUCGGCCACACUGGAACUGAGACACGGUCCAGACUCAUACGGGAGGCAGCAGUAGGGAAUCUUCAGCAAUGGGCGAAAGCCUGACGGAGCAACGCCGAGUGAGUGAUGAAGGUCUUCGGAUCGUAAAACUCUGUUAUUAGGGAAGAACAAAUGUGUAAGUAACUAGGCACGUCUUGACGGUACCUAAUCAGAAAGCCACGGCUAACUACGUG
This 497-nucleotide ribosomal RNA is filed under the name uncultured bacterium. Its description in RNAcentral is "partial 16S ribosomal RNA". It matches the Rfam family "Bacterial small subunit ribosomal RNA", at positions 28 to 507 of the family's 1533-position model. The record is from RNAcentral.